Molecule: long non-coding RNA, 5492 nt
Organism: Ostrea edulis (European flat oyster)
Lineage: Eukaryota; Metazoa; Mollusca; Bivalvia; Ostreida; Ostreidae
Exons: 2
Source: RefSeq, a predicted model, not a curated record
GGGGCGAAAAGUCGCGUUACCUCCACAGGGCGCAACUUGUAUCUAAUUAUAGAUUUUUCAUCUUUGGUUGCUGAAACAGGUGUUCAUCAUGGAAAAAGAAGAAAAUUCUACUACUUUUAGAGGCAACCCAUCAGGAUCUGGUGUCAAAGGACCGGCAUUCACCCCAGAGAAGGCCAGUAAAAAUAAGAUGGCGUCAAAAACCAACAAGAAGUGGGUACGGCUUGCUACUGUGUUGGCUUACGUUCUAGCAGUUUCUCUGGCCGCCAUUGUUUUGGCCAUUUACUACAGCUUCCUCUGGGACCCGCAGCUGAAGACGUCUACUACUGUUGCACCGAUGCCUGGGACCGAAAACAUUUCUUCGGUUACGGGGGGCAGCCAAACCACAGCGGGGAGCGGGACCACAACAGUGUGAGGCAGAAAUGGGAAGAGAAAGAAAAGCACCACACCAUGGUAAUGCUUUGCGGCUUACCCUCUUUCCAGCAAGUUUUCAAACAAUUUUGUCGUUAAAUGAGUUCCUAGUCAACAUCCAGACAAUCUGUUGUGAUAUUUAUAGUGUUUGUGAAUUUUGUUACUUCUUGCUGCAUAUAGUGUCCCACAGAUUCACUCAUAUUGACAAUUUUUCGUCCAAAUAUAUUAAUAUAGACGAUUUUCCAUUUUUGUCUGAAUGUUGAAUCUCUUUCAUCCCCUGUUUACAUGUAUUUAGUUACACAAUUGUACAGGAUUGUGUGUACUGUGAUAUCCUGAGUUUCAUGCUCAGUGAAUUGCUAAUUUUCAUGGAGGUUGAUUUUAAUUGCCAUUGUGGUAUAGACAUAUAUGAACCCAUGAAUUCAAUUUCUCUACACACAUAUAAAAAAUUAUAGCCUUAAAGUCUACCAUGAAUAUGAUGGGUUUUUUCUUUUGUUUUCAUGAAAUCACAAAACUUUAACCCUGAGAAAAAUAUGUGAUUUAACAGCAAGUUGAAUAGUGUAUUGUUGAGUUUCGACCAUCAAAUAAUUGUUUUGUGUAUCCAGUUGUUACCUCUUAUAUUUUUAUUUGUAGAAUAUUUCUAAUGGUUGUUUUUUUGGUCACUCUCGAUACUUAUUAGACAUUUUUAUGUAUACCAUUUACCAAAUAUAAUAUGAAAUAUCACAUCAUUCAUUAGACAUAAGAUAAAAAAGCACAGUGGUAUAGAAAAGAUCCGAUUCCCUCUGAAGCUCAUCUAAGCCAGAGGAUUUUUUAAACAUUUCAAGGCAUCUAUACUAGUCUACGGAAAACCUGUUGUUUAUAUGACAAAGGAUAUACUCUAGUUUGUUAAAAUAUGUGUAGUCAAACCAAUCACCUGGGUUAGGAUGCGGCAAAUAGAAAUUAUAAUCAAUCUCAUCAAAUCUUUUCCUUUUGAGAAGACAUUUACUAAGAUUUGUCCAAAUGAUAUGCAAGAAUCUCAAUGUAGCUUAUAUUAAUUUUUUUUCAAAGCACUUGUUGGGUCUCAUAUUUGCUUGUAAGAGCAUGAUAUUUAUGAUGAACAUUAUAGUUUAAUGAAUCGUUAUCUGGUUAUCAGUGUAUAAAUAUGUUUACAUUCUAAGGGUGCUACAGAUAUCUAUUAAGUCACACAGAAAGAAACUUCAUAGAAGCAUCUUAGCAAUUACAUCUCAGACCAGCUGUUGUACACAGUAAGUCUACAUUGGGGGUGGCUGUUGUACACAGUAAGUCUACAUUGGGGGUGGCUGUUGUACACAGUAAGUCUACAUUGGGAGUGGCUGUUGUACACAGUAAGACUACAUUGGGGGUGGCUGUUGUACACAGUAAGUAUACAUGUACCACUAUGAAUUAUUACUUGUUUUCUUGAUGAUCUUGUUAAAGUAGUAUAUGCUUAUUCAGUAUCUUUUUCAUGUGCUUGUGCAGUAAAACUGUGAACAACAAUAUUUUACAGGGCCAUUAAAUUGAGAUGAGAGUAAACAUACAAUGUAGUUGCCAUCUCUCUCUCUCUCUCUCUCUCUCUCUCUCUCUCUCUCUCUCUCUCCAUUAGAGGAUGUCAAGUGUGAUCCAAAUAUUAGUGAAGAUUUGAGUAGAUCCCUGUUUUAUGGGAUAUGGUACAAUAACAAAACUCAUUUCCCCAAGAAAAGCAAACUAGGGGAAUUCCGAUUGGUCAAGUGAAUAGGGUUAAGCAUUACUAAGAUUUAUUUUGACCUAAGGUAUUUUAAUAAAACAUAUAAGCUAACUUUAUAUAUACAUGUGGGGCUGUGCAAUAUGAUUUUGAAUAUGAAAUAUUAGUUGAGGCAGUUGGGGCAUUUUUACAAACUUUACUUGAUUUACAGGGAUUGUGCACUACUGUUAUUUAUAUAAACCUUGAUUUAUUUUUAAUUUAGGAAAGACUGUCUUGUUGAAAUGUGUAUACAAUAGAUGAUAAUACAUGUGCUGUACAUAUUGCAUCCACCCUUUUUGUUUUAUGCAUUACAUUUCGAGUAUGUGUUCAGCAGAUUUUUUUUUCAGCAAUUGGUGCUGCAAUUUUAUUGAAUUAUAUUUUUAUGCCCCGCCAUGAAUAUGACCGGGGCAUAUAGUGUUUGUCAUGCCUGUCUUCUGUCCUUCCGUCACACUUUGUGUUUAGCUCUGUGUUUAGUUCAGUUUCAAAGAAACUAUUUAAGAUAUAUUCAUCAAACCUUACAUGCUGAUGCAUAUUGGUAUCAUCUAUUCAACUGCAUCAAUAUUUUUUGACCUUGACAUUUCCUUUGACCUUGACUUCACUUUUCCUUAUUUGGUAUUUAGCUCAGUUUCAAAUUAACUACUGACAAUAUUUUAAUGAAACCUACAUGUAUUACACUGAUACAUAUUAGUGGUAGCUAUUCAACUAUGGCAUUAUUUUAUUACCUUGACCUUCCCUGUGAUGUUGACCUCACUAUUUCCUAUUUUGGUGUUUAGCUCAGUUUCAAAGCAAUUAAUGAAGAAUUUUUUGGUCCCUUUCUGAACAUGGCCAGGAUAUAUAGUAUGGGAGCAGAUUUACGAGUCUACUUUUGAUUGAAGACUGUUUGUCAUGCCAGUUUAUGAUAUUCAUGUAUAUAUAUGAGGAUCAGCAUUUCAUGCGAGUAUGAUUUAUUUUUCUUAUUUUAGAAGUAAUUUUGAAUAAUGAUAACCUUUCUAUAGAUAGCUAGGCAACAUUUAACCAAUGCAAAAUUGCUGUUUAUCUUUAUAGCAGUUUUCUUAAAAUUUUGGUAUGAAUUGGUGAUACUUAAGUUAAAAUUUUUAAACAUGAAAACAUUUUGAAAAAAGGUGACUUUUUUUUCUAUUAGAACACUUCACUUUGCCAUGGAAAUAAUGCAUUAGAAUGGUAAAUGAGAAUAUUAGAAAGAUUUUCCUUUUCAUUUAUGUGUGAUAUGACUUAUAAACAACUGAUAUUUACCUGUAUUAAAGAUUUUAGAGUAAAUAUAGCAAUAGACAAGAGUGUUUAAGGUUCUCUUUAUAUUGAAUAUAAUUGUGAUAUGAUUUGAACACAACUCAGAUUUACCUGUAUAAAGGCUAGCACCACACCAGACUAAGUUCACUAAAGGUUUAAACCCAGAUACUAACACAACAAAGUGAAAGCACUGCAUUUCUCUUCUAUUUCAUCGAUAAAGUGAAGGAAAUAGUGUGCAGCAACUUUCCCUCUCCAUUGAAAAGUUGUAAAGUUUUAUUACAUGAAGAAGAUAUUUACCCUUCUAUCGCCUCCUAUGGUCAUCCUUAAUCUGCAUAAUUUUCUUUUUUAAAAGUGUUCAGUAUUUUAAUAUUUUUCCAGAAAACAAAAAAAUUCAACUUAUUUUCCAUUGUGAAUGGGGCAGAAUAUCAGGCCAUGAGCAGGUACCAAUAAUCCCUGUUUUUUUUAGCUCAUGUAAGCUUUUCUGAUUAAAACUUUCCGUUGUUGUAAACGUUUCACAUUUUCAUCUUCUUCUUCAGAACCAUCUGGCCAAUUUCAAUGAAACUUGACACAAAUCAUCCUUGGGUGAAGGGGAUUAAAGUUUGUUCAAAUGAGGGACAAUGCCCUUCUCAAGGUGCAAUAAUGUAGAAUAGUGAAAAUAAACUGGCAAAUUUUAAUAUUUUUCUUCAGAACCAGCAGGCUAAUUUCAAUCAAACUUGGUACAAAUUAUCCUUAGGUGAAGGGGAUUCAAGUUUGUUCAAAUGAAGGGCUAUACCUCUUUUAAAAGGGAGAUAAUCACAAAAAUGCAAGAAUAGGGUGGGGUCAUUUAAAAAUCUUCUCAAGAACCACUAGUCCAGAGAAUGUCAAAUUUCCAUGGCAGCUUUCUGACAUAGUGCAGAUUCAUGCUUGUAAAAAUCAUGUCCCCCAAGGGUAGGUUGGGGCCACAGUAGGGGAUCAAAAUUUUACAUAUGAAUAUAUAGGGGGGAGUUUUUAGAUAUGGGCCAAGGUGACUCAGGUGAGCAAUGGGGCCCCUUAUUUUCAUAUUGCAUUACAAAUGCUACAUCAGGCGGGACAUUCGUGUCCUGUGGACGUUUAUCGAGUUUGGGGUUAAAUCAAUUUAUUGAUUAAUAUAUUUUCCUUUGAAAAAAAAACAACUAAGUUUUGAAAUGUGUCUCUAUGAAGCAGUUAUUCAAAAUUGUGUUUGUAAUGUACAAAAAUAACAUGUUGAACUGUUUGAAGUUUUUAUUUUUUAUGUUAAGUAUGGUAUAGCAAUAUCUGUAUGUCCAUCUGUCUGUCUGUGUGUUAGGUAGGGGUUUUCAUUUCUCUGUAACAUCAAACUGAAACUUGCUAUGUAGUUUCUUUCUGGGUCACUCUAGAUCGUGUUGCAAGUUGGACCCAUUUCAACCCCCUAAGCAGGAGUUUUGCUACUUUAUUUGAAAUAUACAUUAUAUGGAGAUUAUGUAAUUCUCCCACCGUUUUCAAGGAAAUACCUUUUUUAUGUUACAGAGUGUUUGUAUGGGUAUUGAAGAUGUACAUGUAGCGAGGAUUUUGAUAUCCUUAAAGUUUUGAAAAAACAACAACAGCAGUUUGUUAAACUUAGUUUUGAGGAGAUAUUACAUGUAUAUACAUUAAGUACACAUUUAUUUCAAACUAAGGCCUUUGUAAUCAACUUUAAGAUAUACGUAUUGCAAGAAUUUUGAUUUCUAACAGUUUUCUAAUUUUCUUUGAUGUUUUGAGAAAAAAAUUACGGGUGGUUGAAAUACUGUACACACAGCUAGAGCUCUUGGUUUGGUUAUAUACCUUCUGUCAGUCAUACAUUGACCUUUUGUUAAUAUGAUGCAAAAGGAAGGUUAUUGCUUGGUGAUGGCUGAUACUUUUAAAAUACCUGAAUUAAAGUUCUACAACUCAUGGCUUAAGAAAACCACCUCACACAAGCUUGUGAUGGGUGUAUUGUGUACCGUUCCCGGUACUCUUGCCGUUUCUAAGAACUUUAACAUUGCUUUAUGAAAUGUUAGGGAGGAAUAGUGAUUGAUGCAUUUGUCAUGUUUGGAAUUGUUGUAUACUAUUGUUCAUUGUGAUAGAAUUGUGUUAUACAUACAUGUUGAAAUAUUAAAUCUGUGUACCCAAA